Molecule: ribosomal RNA, 363 nt
Filed under: uncultured bacterium
Lineage: Bacteria
Description: bacterial SSU rRNA
Rfam family: Bacterial small subunit ribosomal RNA
Source: RNAcentral
GCCGACUUAACUACCGCAUUAUUCUGGUGAGCGAAGGAAAGCGAGGGGGACCCGCAAGGCCUUGCGCUCUUUGAGCGGCCGAUGUCAGAUUAGCUAGUUGGUGAGGUAACGGCUUACCAAGGCGACGAUCUGUAGCGGGUCUGAGAGGAUGAUCCGCCACACUGGAACUGAGACACGGUCCAGACUCCUACGGGAGGCAGCAGUGGGGAAUUUUGGACAAUGGGCGCAAGCCUGAUCCAGCCAUGCCGCGUGAGUGAAGAAGGCCUUCGGGUUGUAAAGCUCUUUCGGCCGGGAAGAAAUCGCAUGGGUUAAUACCCUGUGUGGAUGACGGUACCGGAAUAAGAAGCACCGGCUAACUACGUG